GAUGAACGCUGGCGGCGUGCCUAAUACAUGCAAGUCGAGCGAACGGACGAGAAGCUUGCUUCUCUGAUGUUAGCGGCGGACGGGUGAGUAACACGUGGAUAACCUACCUAUAAGACUGGGAUAACUUCGGGAAACCGGAGCUAAUACCGGAUAAUAUUUUGAACCGCAUGGUUCAAAAGUGAAAGACGGUCUUGCUGUCACUUAUAGAUGGAUCCGCGCUGCAUUAGCUAGUUGGUAAGGUAACGGCUUACCAAGGCAACGAUGCAUAGCCGACCUGAGAGGGUGAUCGGUCACACUGGAACUGAGACACGGUCCAGACUCCUACGGGAGGCAGCAGUAGGGAAUCUUCCGCAAUGGGCGAAAGCCUGACGGAGCAACGCCGCGUGAGUGAUGAAGGUCUUCGGAUCGUAAAACUCUGUUAUUAGGGAAGAACAUAUGUGUAAGUAACUGUGCACAUCUUGACGGUACCUAAUCAGAAAGCCACGGCUAACUACG
Molecule: ribosomal RNA, 495 nt
Filed under: uncultured bacterium
Lineage: Bacteria
Description: partial 16S ribosomal RNA
Rfam family: Bacterial small subunit ribosomal RNA
Source: RNAcentral